AUGUCUGGAUUUUCAUCCUCAACCGGGUUCGAGCAACUCCCACCGCUAAUCAGCUGCCCUGAGUGCGGCGGCCGCGUCUUCACCUGGAUUGCUCGGGCGGGUCAGAAUGCGGGCGUUCGUUUCUACAAGUGCGUCAACAAGGACGCUGGCAUCUGCAACUACAUGAGAACCAAGGCGGAGUACCUAGCCGAGCUUAGCUACCAUAUGGCGACCACACAGCAGCCAUUGCAGGGGAGCAGCCAGUCGGGAGCUUGUCUGAACCGCAGAGCUCGAGUUGUCGAGCAGCAGCGCAGUGGUCCAGUCGGUCCCCAAGCUUCCAGAGCCCAACCACUGCUUAAUCAAGCAGGCUCAUCCGCGCCGCUCUUCGUGUUCUUGUGUUUUUAG
This 384-nucleotide ribosomal RNA is filed under the name Triticum aestivum (bread wheat). Its description in RNAcentral is "partial small subunit ribosomal RNA". The record is from RNAcentral. Lineage: Eukaryota; Viridiplantae; Streptophyta; Magnoliopsida; Poales; Poaceae.